GGGGAUAUAGCUCAGCUGGGAGAGCGCUUGAAUGGCAUUCAAGAGGCCAGCGGUUCGAUCCCGCUUAUCUCCA
Molecule: non-coding RNA, 73 nt
Organism: Sporomusa sphaeroides DSM 2875
Lineage: Bacteria; Bacillati; Bacillota; Negativicutes; Selenomonadales; Sporomusaceae
Source: Rfam